Long non-coding RNA from Ictalurus punctatus (channel catfish), 1501 nucleotides. Lineage: Eukaryota; Metazoa; Chordata; Actinopteri; Siluriformes; Ictaluridae. The record is from Ensembl.
UUACCGUGGAAGGGGAACACCGAGUCCAGAUGGUCUCCGCCUCGUAAUUAGCACAGUUUUAGUUUCUGGGAUCAAAAAGCGAACAUAAAGCUCGAGCUCUUAUGUUGAUACCGUGUUUCUGGAGGCGCCCGGAGCUUCGUAGAUUCCUUGUGAGUGGGAAUUACACACUCUUCCCCCUCCUCCCUUCCCAAAGUGUAGUUUCAUCCCAUUCUGAUGGCGUGUCGGCGUGAAGCUGUGCCACGGCUCUUUCCCAUGCUUUAACAUGCAGACAGCUCAGGUAGGCAGGCUGGCCUACUGCAGGGUGUAAAGCAUGGCCAUGUAAAUGAGUCAGUGGGAGUGUGUGGAGUGAGUAAAGUCUGCUGCUGCUGCCUCUCUGCAUGAAGAGAGUGCAUUUGCUUUAGCUCAUUUUAACAGGAUUACAGGCAGGCUGUGUUCAGGGUCUGCCAGCUUUUUCAGCUUGUGUCUUUCCUCCAGGCAACCUUUGCAUGCUCCUCACCAGCCUGCUGAGAGACAGCAACUGGGAGGGCUGUAUGCGCAUGACUAUGACAAAUACACACACAUACUGCACAUACAGUAUAUGUAGGAAAUAUUCUAGACAUGCAAUGACAAAUGAUAUUCUGGAAAUAUUCUAGACCAAAAAACAUAAUGGGUCUGUGAAUGCGCACAGGACUUUUUGUCACUGUGCAACUCUCGUCAAAAAGAGCAGAGAAGAGCUUUACACUUGACAUGUUCCUGUGCUGUUCUCAGCCCUUGAAUGCGAUCUACCACAAUACAGAGAGAGCUUUUGUGUGAGAUGGUCCAGUUGACACCUGCUACCCCUGAGAGCAGUGAAUUUCAAGUGCCUCAUUCAAAAAAUACCUGCCUGAAGAAAGAGUAAUGUCACACUAGAGGCAAUGCGGUCUAGGGUUUUUAAUUACCAUAUUUGUUUUUAGAAUCAGUUCUGACCACUAAAAUCUAUAUCUGAUUUUAAAUUAAUGACACGUUCAUGAAUUAACAGUAAACCACAUUUUGUUAACCAUUUCACUGGUCAUAAAUGUUAUGAUCCCACUCUGUAAACCCUCUUUAAUAUGAAAUCUUUUGGGGGCAAUUAUUAAACAGGAAAACCACUAAAAGCAUUAUAGUGUUAACAGGCUGGACAUGGCAAGGACAAAGGCAUUGGCUGGCCCCCCUUGACCCUGUCACAUCCUCAUGCACUCCUGGAAUUGUGGGGAGCAUGACCCUGAGGUCAGAGGUCAGUCUGUGUCAAGUGGGGUGACUCUUCAUGCCGUUUUAAUUGAGUGUGUCCUGUUGAAGGAGCGUGUGAGAGUGCUGGGACAUAUGCAUCACAUAUACAGCGCUCCAGAAGUGUGUUACCCCCUUACCUGUUACUCAUUUAUUUAUUUGAAAAUCAUGUUAUGUAGUAAUUAUUCAUUAUUAAGGAAUCACUGUGAAACUUUAUGAGUAUAGUUACAAGGCUGAGAAAUGUACAUCUGGAUUUGGUGCUGGGUCCUGACAGUUUAAG